Molecule: ribosomal RNA, 460 nt
Filed under: uncultured bacterium
Lineage: Bacteria
Description: partial 16S ribosomal RNA
Rfam family: Bacterial small subunit ribosomal RNA
Source: RNAcentral
CCUACGGGAGGCAGCAGUGAGGAAUAUUGGUCAAUGGGCGAGCGCCUGAACCAGCCAAGUCGCGUGAAGGAUGACGGCCCUACGGGUUGUAAACUUCUUUUGUCAGGGAGCAAUUGGGUCCACGCGUGCGCUUAGCGAGAGUACCUGAAGAAAAAGAAUCGGCUAACUCCUUGCCAGAAGCGGCGGUAAUACGGGGGAUGCGGGCGUUAGCGGGAUUUAUGGGUUUAAAGGGUUGCGUAGGCGGAAUAUCAAGUCAGCGGUAACAUUUCGGGGCUCACCCCAGUCGUGCCGUUGAAACUGAGGUUCUUGAGUGGGCGAGAAGUAGGCGGAAUGCGUGGUGUAGCGGUGAAAUGCAUAGAUAUCACGCAGAACUCCGAUUGCGAAGGCAGCAUACCGGCGCCCAACUGACGCUGAAGCACGAAAGCGUGGGUAUCGAACAGGAUUAGAUACCCCAGUAGUC